This 271-nucleotide ribosomal RNA is filed under the name uncultured bacterium. Its description in RNAcentral is "partial 16S ribosomal RNA". It matches the Rfam family "Bacterial small subunit ribosomal RNA", at positions 524 to 794 of the family's 1533-position model. The record is from RNAcentral.
UACGUAGGGUGCGAGCGUUAAUCGGAAUUACUGGGCGUAAAGCGUGCGCAGGCGGUGACCCAAGUCAGAUGUGAAAUCCCCGGGCUUAACCUGGGAACUGCAUUUGAAACUAGGUCGCUAGAGUGUGUCAGAGGGGGGUGGAAUUCCGCGUGUAGCAGUGAAAUGCGUAGAGAUGCGGAGGAACACCGAUGGCGAAGGCAGCCCCCUGGGAUAACACUGACGCUCAUGCACGAAAGCGUGGGGAGCAAACAGGAUUAGAUACCCUUGUAGU